This 818-nucleotide ribosomal RNA is filed under the name uncultured bacterium. RNAcentral's name for it is "bacterial SSU rRNA". It matches the Rfam family "Bacterial small subunit ribosomal RNA", at positions 1 to 821 of the family's 1533-position model. The record is from RNAcentral.
GGAUCAGACUUUGAUUCUGGCUCAGGAUGAACGCUAGCGGGAGGCCUAACACAUGCAAGCCGAGCGGUAUUUGUUCUUCGGAACAGAGAGAGCGGCGCACGGGCGCGGAACACGUGUGCAACCUGCCUUUAUCUGGGGGAUAGCCUUUCGAAAGGAAGAUUAAUACCCCAUAAUAUAUUGAGUGGCAUCAUUUGAUAUUGAAAACUCCGGUGGAUAGAGAUGGGCACGCGCAAGAUUAGAUAGUUGGUGAGGUAACGGCUCACCAAGUCAAUGAUCUUUAGGGGGCCUGAGAGGGUGAUCCCCCACACUGGUACUGAGACACGGACCAGACUCCUACGGGAGGCAGCAGUGAGGAAUAUUGGACAAUGGGUUAGCGCCUGAUCCAGCCACCCCGCGUGAAGGACGACGGCCCUAUGGGUUGUAAACUUCUUUUGUAUAGGGAUAAACCUACUCUCGUGAGAGUAGCUGAAGGUACUAUACGAAUAAGCACCGGCUAACUCCGUGCCAGCAGCCGCGGUAAUACGGAGGGUGCAAGCGUUAUCCGGAUUUAUUGGGUUUAAAGGGUCCGUAGGCGGAUCUGUAAGUCAGUGGUGAAAUCUCACAGCUUAACUGUGAAACUGCCAUUGAUACUGCAGGUCUUGAGUAAAUUUGAAGUGGCUGGAAUAAGUAGUGUAGCGGUGAAAUGCAUAGAUAUUACUUAGAACACCAAUUGCGAAGGCAGGUCACUAAGAUUUAACUGACGCUGAUGGACGAAAGCGUGGGGAGCGAACAGGAUUAGAUACCCUGGUAGUCCACGCCGUAAACGAUGCUAACUCGUU